Molecule: ribosomal RNA, 1872 nt
Filed under: Escherichia coli
Lineage: Bacteria; Pseudomonadati; Pseudomonadota; Gammaproteobacteria; Enterobacterales; Enterobacteriaceae
Description: partial 23S ribosomal RNA
Rfam family: Bacterial large subunit ribosomal RNA
Source: RNAcentral
GGAGAAUGUUAUCACGGGAGACACACGGCGGGUGCUAACGUCCGUCGUGAAGAGGGAAACAACCCAGACCGCCAGCUAAGGUCCCAAAGUCAUGGUUAAGUGGGAAACGAUGUGGGAAGGCCCAGACAGCCAGGAUGUUGGCUUAGAAGCAGCCAUCAUUUAAAGAAAGCGUAAUAGCUCACUGGUCGAGUCGGCCUGCGCGGAAGAUGUAACGGGGCUAAACCAUGCACCGAAGCUGCGGCAGCGACGCUUAUGCGUUGUUGGGUAGGGGAGCGUUCUGUAAGCCUGUGAAGGUGGCCUGUGAGGGUUGCUGGAGGUAUCAGAAGUGCGAAUGCUGACAUAAGUAACGAUAAAGCGGGUGAAAAGCCCGCUCGCCGGAAGACCAAGGGUUCCUGUCCAACGUUAAUCGGGGCAGGGUGAGUCGACCCCUAAGGCGAGGCCGAAAGGCGUAGUCGAUGGGAAACAGGUUAAUAUUCCUGUACUUGGUGUUACUGCGAAGGGGGGACGGAGAAGGCUAUGUUGGCCGGGCGACGGUUGUCCCGGUUUAAGCGUGUAGGCUGGUUUUCCAGGCAAAUCCGGAAAAUCAAGGCUGAGGCGUGAUGACGAGGCACUACGGUGCUGAAGCGACAAAUGCCCUGCUUCCAGGAAAAGCCUCUAAGCAUCAGGUAACAUUAAAUCGUACCCCAAACCGACACAGGUGGUCAGGUAGAGAAUACCAAGGCGCUUGAGAGAACUCGGGUGAAGGAACUAGGCAAAAUGGUGCCGUAACUUCGGGAGAAGGCACGCUGAUAUGUAGGUGAAGCGACUUGCUCGUGGAGCUGAAAUCAGUCGAAGAUACCAGCUGGCUGCAACUGUUUAUUAAAAACACAGCACUGUGCAAACACGAAAGUGGACGUAUACGGUGUGACGCCUGCCCGGUGCCGGAAGGUUAAUUGAUGGGGUUAGCGGUAACGCGAAGCUCUUGAUCGAAGCCCCGGUAAACGGCGGCCGUAACUAUAACGGUCCUAAGGUAGCGAAAUUCCUUGUCGGGUAAGUUCCGACCUGCACGAAUGGCGUAAUGAUGGCCAGGCUGUCUCCACCCGAGACUCAGUGAAAUUGAACUCGCUGUGAAGAUGCAGUGUACCCGCGGCAAGACGGAAAGACCCCGUGAACCUUUACUAUAGCUUGACACUGAACAUUGAGCCUUGAUGUGUAGGAUAGGUGGGAGGCUUUGAAGUGUGGACGCCAGUCUGCAUGGAGCCGACCUUGAAAUACCACCCUUUAAUGUUUGAUGUUCUAACGUGGGCCCCUUACCGGGGUUGCGGACAGUGUCUGGUGGGUAGUUUGACUGGGGCGGUCUCCUCCUAAAGAGUAACGGAGGAGCACGAAGGUUGGCUAAUCCUGGUCGGACAUCAGGAGGUUAGUGCAAUGGCAUAAGCCAGCUUGACUGCGAGCGUGACGGCGCGAGCAGGUGCGAAAGCAGGUCAUAGUGAUCCGGUGGUUCUGAAUGGAAGGGCCAUCGCUCAACGGAUAAAAGGUACUCCGGGGAUAACAGGCUGAUACCGCCCAAGAGUUCAUAUCGACGGCGGUGUUUGGCACCUCGAUGUCGGCUCAUCACAUCCUGGGGCUGAAGUAGGUCCCAAGGGUAUGGCUGUUCGCCAUUUAAAGUGGUACGCGAGCUGGGUUUAGAACGUCGUGAGACAGUUCGGUCCCUAUCUGCCGUGGGCGCUGGAGAACUGAGGGGGGCUGCUCCUAGUACGAGAGGACCGGAGUGGACGCAUCACUGGUGUUCGGGUUGUCAUGCCAAUGGCACUGCCCGGUAGCUAAAUGCGGAAGAGAUAAGUGCUGAAAGCAUCUAAGCACGAAACUUGCCCCGAGAUGAGUUCUCCCUGA